ACGUUAUGGUGGGCACUCUAAGGAGACUGCCGGUGACAAACCGGAGGAAGGUGGGGAUGACGUCAAGUCAUCAUGGCCCUUACGGCCUGGGCUACACACGUGCUACAAUGGUCGGUACAAAGGGUUGCCAAGCCGCGAGGUGGAGCUAAUACCCAUAAAACCGAUCGUAGUCCGGAUCGCAGUCUGCAACUCGACUGCGUGAAGUCGGAAUCGCUAGUAAUCGUGAAUCAGAAUGUCACGGUGAAUACGUUCCCGGGCCUU
Molecule: ribosomal RNA, 261 nt
Filed under: uncultured Pseudomonas sp.
Lineage: Bacteria; Pseudomonadati; Pseudomonadota; Gammaproteobacteria; Pseudomonadales; Pseudomonadaceae
Description: partial 16S ribosomal RNA
Rfam family: Bacterial small subunit ribosomal RNA
Source: RNAcentral